GGGAAAUCGGGCGCUGCGGGUCCUUCCUAUCUGAGGGGCUUCGGAAACCUUCUAGCAGUAUCCAGCGUCCUAGGUGAGGGAACUGUCUCCUUCCUUGCCUGGGACUCUGGAACCGUCUCUUUCUAAUGAAACAUGCCCGACCUAUAUGACAGGUGAGCACAUAGAUUACUGUGGGUACUCUGUUCUCCCCAUGGCUGUGGAGCAGGACAUGCUAAUAGCUGUGGGACCUGUGAAAACCCAGACUCUCCAACUGGCCAAUACAGACCCCUUGUAUCCAGACUUCAGUACUACAGCUAAUAACAUCUGUAUCGACAAGACCCAACCUCUAUGGCACAACUACUUCCUAUGUGGAUUUAAGGGAAUUCAG
This 367-nucleotide long non-coding RNA is filed under the name Rattus norvegicus (Norway rat). RNAcentral describes it as "long non-coding RNA NONRATT018557". Lineage: Eukaryota; Metazoa; Chordata; Mammalia; Rodentia; Muridae. The record is from RNAcentral.